GAGAGGAGAGCCCGCCCCACCGCGCUGGUGUUUGUGCGCAGGCUCCGCGCUAGGUUCUGGUAUUUUCGACGCUGACGUCGUCCCUCUGUUCAGUUCGCGUCCGGACCUCGGAGGUGGAGGUUGCUGCCCUCUUAGGUCGAUCGAGACGAGACUCCCGCCGCCUUGGGUCUCCGGUCUGAGAGGAAGGUGUCCGCUAGGCUUUCCUCUCGUCGCCUUUGCGAACACGUCAUCGGUUUAAGUUCCUAGACGCCGUCGUCGCGUUUGCGGAAGGGGCCCGAUUCCGAGAAGGAAGUCAUGUCCUCCUCGGCCGCCGUGUCCAAGUACGUGAACGAUAUGUGGCCCGGCUCCCCGCAGGAGAAGGCGUCGCCGUCCACCUCGGGCUCCGGCCGCUCCAGCCGCCUGUCGUCGCGCUCCCGCAGCCGCUCUUCGUCCCGCAGCUCCGGACCCGGCUCCCGCAGCUCCAGCCGCUCGUCGUCGCGCAGCCACAGCCGGCCGCGGCGGAGCAGGCGGUCCCGGUCCCGGUCGCGCUCCCGCCGGCGCCAUCAGCGCAAGUACAGGCGCUACUCGCGGUCGUACUCCCGCAGCCGGUCCCGGUCCCGCGGCCGCCGCCACCACCGGGACAGCUGUUACGGCCGGCCGCGGAGGUACUACCAGUCCCCGUCGCCCUACCGCUCCCGGAGCAGGUCGCGCUCCCGCGGGAGGUCGUAUCACCGGAGGUCGUACUACGCGAUCACGCGCGGCCGGCGCUACUACGGCUUCGGCCGCACGGUGUACCCCGAGGAUCGCCCCAGGUGGAGGUCCAGGAGCAGGUCGCGCAGCAGGAGCGGGACCCCCUUCCGCUUAACUGAGAAAGAUCGAAUGGAGCUGCUAGAAAUAGCAAAAGCCAAUGCAGCAAAAGCUCUAGGAACAGCCAACUUUGACUUGCCAGCGAGUCUUCGAACUGUAGCCAAGGAAACAAGCCAGGGAGCAGCUGUUUCUAGCAGUGGCGCAAAGAUGGAGGUAAGUAUCUUCAGAAGGCUACUGCCUGCAGAUCUCAUUAUCCUGUCAGUUUACUAUAGACAGCCCUCCUGGGAUGUCUUCUAUCAUUUGCCCAGAACAAAACUAACCUUAAUCUGACAAAUACUAGACCAUCCCCUAGGAAACUGGGAGAUGAUGAACUUGCUUUCAUUCUGACACUUGGUUUGCCUUUCCAUAACAGUAAAACCACUGACUAUAUUAUUGACUAUAUUACUUUGUCUUUUUCUUACUCUUUCUAGUCUUUAGAGACUGGAGCGCUCUAUCAGUAGCUUUCAUUUACAGCAUUAUGUUCCCAAACGUCUGCUCAGUAUACAGUAUAGUUUAUCUGCUUUAUUUCUGUCUUAUAGAAAUCAUGAAUGUGGUCUCCAGACAAUGAUGAAGAAAAUCUGUUGAUGUUUUGAGAGAUUACAGAAGAAGAGGCCUGCUUCACUUGCAGAUAAGUUUAUUACAAUUCUCCAGAAUUACAAAAGAUGUGCAUUGGCACAUUGCACUGUACUUAUAAUUUAAUGCGAAACCUGAAUCUUAAGAUUGAUAAUUUGGUCUGGGUAUGUUGUAGUUCAGUUGCUCUAGGGUGCACAACACCUGGGGUUGUUUCCAGGUGUAAACUGGGUUUAGUGCCCCAUCCCUGUGAUCCCAGCACUGGGAGACAGGAUUGUUCAAGGUCAUCCUUGGCUACAUAAGGAAUCAAGAGGCCAGCCAGGGAUCUCAAAAAUUUACUUUAUAGAAAUUUAAGGUAAAAGUUAGUAGUACAAUGAGAUAGUUUGAAUUGCUGUGACCUUGGGGUCUGCCUACUAUUUGCUUAGGCAAGUACUUAAGAGUUUCUCCUUGAGAUGAUUGGGGCACCUUUCUCAUAUGCCUCUGUUAUUUUGACAAAGCAUUUUCUAUUGCACUUACUCAAAAAUGAGUUGUAGCAGCCGUGGUGGCUCACGCCUUUAAUCCCAGCACUCGGGAGGGGCAGAGCCACUCAGACCUCUGAGUUAAGGCCAGCCUGGUCUACAGAGCGAGAUCCAGGACAGGCACCAAAACUACACAGAGAAACCCUGUCUCGAAAGGACAAAAAAAAGAAAAAAAAAAAAUGAGUUGUAUCCAAAGCAGGAAUCAGGUAUUCAUGGGGAACUGUGUUGUGUCUACUUCUCUAAAUCAAUAUUGUUAAGUGGAAGCAAGUUUGUUUUUGUUGUCUAGCUUGUUAACUGUGGCAAUAGAUGGAAUUGGUUUGUGUGUCUACAGCUACAUUUGUGUGCAAUGGGCUGCUUUUUAUACAAUAUUCAAAAAACUAAGGCUAUGUUAAAAUUCUCUGCCCCUCUAGCAUUCAGAAAAGCAAACUGAAGAUGGAAGUAAAAAUCCCAGUGAGAAAUCUUCUGCACAGAGAAACAUAGCCUUCAGCUCCAAUAAUUCCAUAGCAAAGCCAUUACAGAAAACAGCUAAAGCUGCUGCUGAAGAGACAUCAUCAGGAUCACCAAAAA
Molecule: RNA transcript, 2480 nt
Organism: Peromyscus eremicus (cactus mouse)
Lineage: Eukaryota; Metazoa; Chordata; Mammalia; Rodentia; Cricetidae
Gene: Rsrp1
Gene name: arginine and serine rich protein 1
Exons: 5
Source: RefSeq, a predicted model, not a curated record